Molecule: ribosomal RNA, 374 nt
Filed under: uncultured eukaryote
Lineage: Eukaryota
Description: partial 18S ribosomal RNA
Rfam family: Eukaryotic small subunit ribosomal RNA
Source: RNAcentral
CAAUAGCGUAUAUUUAAGUUGUUGCAGUUAAAAAGCUCGUAGUUGGAUUUCUGCUGAUCGCUGUCGGUCUGCCGUCAGGUGUGUACUGGCAGUGUUUGGCAUCUAUUCGAGAUUGGGUGUCCACUUGAUUGUGUGCACUCGAUGUCGGAGCUAAUACUUUGAGAAAAUUAGAGUGUUCCACGCAGGCGCGUGCCUUGAAUACUGCAGCAUGGGAUAUUGGAAGGCCGAUUGAGUUUUCUUGUUGGUUCUCGGUUUGAUCGGAAUGAUUAAUAGGGAUAGUUGGGGGCAUUCGUAUUCAACUGUCAGAGGUGAAAUUCUUGGAUUUGUUGAAGACGGACUACUGCGAAAGCAUCUGCCAUGGAUGUUCUCAUUGA